RNAcentral lists this long non-coding RNA (273 nucleotides) under Brassica napus (rape). RNAcentral's name for it is "long non-coding RNA (BNAP_LNC017988)". Lineage: Eukaryota; Viridiplantae; Streptophyta; Magnoliopsida; Brassicales; Brassicaceae. The record is from RNAcentral.
ACCAGCACGAGGCUUCUGGCGAGGGUGUCGCUGAGAACGAUGCAUGCAAGUGUGGAUCUGACUGCAAGUGUGAUCCUUGCACCUGUAAAUGAAUAAUGAAACCUCUCUAAGGUGGCAGAGAUAAUCAGAGUUUAAUUAUAUUAAGUAACCCUAAUGAUGUUCUAGGUUUUGUUUUACGGUGUAAUAAUGGCUGCAGGCUUUUGUCUUUUAGCCGAUAAUGGUUUUCGUUUGUGUUGACGUAUCUAGUCUCUAGAUGUCUCUGCCAUGUGUGAC